This 918-nucleotide ribosomal RNA is filed under the name Triticum aestivum (bread wheat). Its description in RNAcentral is "partial small subunit ribosomal RNA". The record is from RNAcentral. Lineage: Eukaryota; Viridiplantae; Streptophyta; Magnoliopsida; Poales; Poaceae.
AUGGCGUACUUCGUGCCCGGAAUGAUGCACAUUGUGAUGGGCUUGUUGGUACUCACAAUGGGCCAAGACCUCCCCGAUGGCAACCUUGCAAGCCUCCAGAAGAAGGGAGACAUGGCCAAGGACAAGUUCUCCAAGGUCCUUUGGGGUGCCGUCACCAACUACCGGACAUGGAUCUUCGUCCUCCUCUACGGCUAUUGCAUGGGCGUCGAACUCACCACCGACAACGUCAUCGCCGAGUACUACUAUGACCACUUUCACCUAGACCUUCGCGCCGCUGGCACAAUCGCCGCUUGCUUCGGCAUGGCCAACAUCGUCGCACGUCCUAUGGGCGGCUACCUCUCCGACCUUGGCGCUCGGUACUUCGGCAUGCGUGCUCGCCUUUGGAACAUCUGGAUCCUCCAGACCGCUGGCGGAGCUUUCUGCAUCUGGCUCGGUCGUGCAUUGGCCCUUCCUGCCUCAGUGACUGCCAUGGUCCUCUUCUCCAUCUGCGCCCAGGCUGCAUGUGGUGCUGUAUUUGGGGUCGCACCAUUCGUUUCCAGACGUUCCCUUGGGAUCAUCUCUGGGCUCACCGGCGCGGGUGGCAAUGUGGGUGCUGGGCUCACACAACUUCUAUUCUUCACUUCGUCGCAAUACUCCACUGGGAGGGGUCUCGAGUACAUGGGCAUCAUGAUCAUGGCUUGUACGCUGCCCGUCGCUCUUGUGCACUUCCCACAGUGGGGCUCCAUGUUCUUCCCAGCCAGCGCCGAUGCCACUGAGGAAGAGUACUACGCCUCCGAGUGGUCGGAGGAGGAGAAAAGCAAGGGUCUCCAUAUCGCAGGUCAAAAGUUCGCCGAGAACUCCCGCUCGGAACGUGGAAGGCGCAACGUCGUCCUUGCCACAUCUGCCACGCCACCCAACAACACACCCCAACACGUAUAA